GGUGAAUCUCAAGCUGGGAAAUCCGGAAAACAUAUAAGGAGAAGAGAGAAGUGGGGCUCCUGCAGGUCUGGAAGCGAUGAGUAAGAAGAAAAGGGGGUAAAGGAAUCGAGGCUAAUGGACACCUGUACCAUACAACCGGGGACAUAAAUUUGUUUUCCAUCCUCAUCUGGGGCUCCUUAUUUUCCAACUCCCCCAACCACCUCGAGCUCAGGGGCGUAGAAAGAAGAGGAGAUCGACCCUGCCAGGCGCUAGCCAGGGCAAGCAGUGAAGGAGUUAAGGCAGGAUUGGGGGAAGGCCGACCGGCAGAAGGGAGCAUGUGCAGUCUGCAACCGCUUCCAUACUAUGGCCCCGGUUUGCAGUCCUGCCAGAACCCUGAGGACUAUGGGUUGUGCUGUGCCUCAUGCAUCAGUGACAAAAUUGUCCUCUGAGCUCUGUACCUGUAACAGAGUCAGAUGUCAUCGGCAGAAAGAUCCCAUCUUGGACUCCUGCUCCCUUAGCCAGCUGUCCUAGUAUUCUGAAAUGAAGAAACUGAGAAGAGAAAAUGACUUACUCAAGGUCACAGCACCAGGAGGCAUGCCCUUUCUGUGCCUGCAGAUUAUAUUUGGCCAUCUCAAAAGUACCAGCUUUGCUGUUUUGCCUGUGGCACACACUGAAUUGUCUAAGCCUGAAGACUGGAAAGAGGAAGGGCAGAGGUAUCUUUGAGGUAGUGUUGGGGUCAAUUUCCAAGGGAAAGAGAAUGGAGAAAAAAGUUUG
Molecule: long non-coding RNA, 753 nt
Filed under: Vombatus ursinus (common wombat)
Lineage: Eukaryota; Metazoa; Chordata; Mammalia; Diprotodontia; Vombatidae
Description: lncRNA (ENSVURG00010023446.1)
Source: RNAcentral